This is a non-coding RNA of Pelobates cultripes (western spadefoot toad), 174 nucleotides long. Lineage: Eukaryota; Metazoa; Chordata; Amphibia; Anura; Pelobatidae. The record is from the annotation of a GenBank genome assembly.
GCAGAGGGGGCCCAGGCAGCACACAGCUUCUCCUCCUCUCCUCUCUCUUCUUUCUUCUAAUAACUCUCGCGAGACCCAGUUACCAUGGCAACACUCCGCGGGUCUCGCGAGAGUUAUUAGAACAGAGAAGAGAGAGGAGAGGAGGAGAAGCUGUGUGCUGCCUGGGCUCCCUCU